GUAUAAGAGACAGCAGCCGCCACGGUAAUACCGAGGGUGCGAGCGUUAAUCGGAUUUACUGGGCGUAAAGCGUGCGUAGGCGGCUUCUUAAGUCGGAUGUGAAAUCCCUGAGCUUAACUUAGGAAUUGCAUUCGAUACUGGGAAGCUAGAGUAUGGGAGAGGAUGGUAGAAUUCCAGGUGUAGCGGUGAAAUGAGUAGAGAUCUGGAGGAAUACCGAUGGCGAAGGCAGCCAUCUGGCCUAAUACUGACGCUGAGGUACGAAAGCAUGGGGAGCAAACAGGAUUAGAUACCCCCGUAGUCCCUGUCUCUUAUAC
RNAcentral lists this ribosomal RNA (314 nucleotides) under uncultured bacterium. RNAcentral describes it as "partial 16S ribosomal RNA". It matches the Rfam family "Bacterial small subunit ribosomal RNA", at positions 495 to 807 of the family's 1533-position model. The record is from RNAcentral.